AUUAUAUACACACACUGCAUUAUAUACACCCACACUACACAAACACACUGUGUAUAUAAUGCAGUGUGUGUUUGUGUA
Molecule: non-coding RNA, 78 nt
Organism: Pelobates cultripes (western spadefoot toad)
Lineage: Eukaryota; Metazoa; Chordata; Amphibia; Anura; Pelobatidae
Source: the annotation of a GenBank genome assembly